Molecule: long non-coding RNA, 473 nt
Organism: Mauremys mutica (yellowpond turtle)
Lineage: Eukaryota; Metazoa; Chordata; Testudines; Geoemydidae
Exons: 3
Source: RefSeq, a predicted model, not a curated record
AAUAAUUCCUGUUUGAACCGGAGCAUAGAAAAACAUCCAACCUUGAUUUAGAAGGAAAUAACAACAUUGGUACAGGAUCCAAAUUUAAAUAAAAUAAUACAGGUUGAGUUUACAAAUCAUAAGGAGACCUCUCUUGGUGGUUAUGUCCACAAAAACAUGGAGAACUGAAAUUUACACUACAGAGCAGCAGUGACCCUUCAUCCUGAAUCAGUUCAUGAGUCAUCCCAGCCCAAGGAGCUGCAAUUACCAUUUCCACAUAGAUAACGAUAUUUAUCCUAGGUGCUAGUUUCUUUGCAGAGUUCCUACUGUCCUUCUGAGAACAGGUGUGAGGUCCAGCUCUGAAGCAGGCUCCUGGUGUUUACAUGAUGAUGUGGCACAGGAAGAGGGCAUUGUGAUUUAAGGAAAGAACAACUGGAUAGUUAAGGUCUGAUAGCAUGUUUGAUUCAGACUGGGGGCAAAUCCUAACACCAUCA